AAGUCGUAACAAGGUUUCCGUAGGUGAACCUGCGGAAGGAUCAUUAAUAGAGACCGUCGCCUGGAUAGGGGAAACCCCCCGGCAGCACUCUCCACCCCCUUCGAUUGUCGUUACCUUUAGUUCGCUUUUGGCGGGUUGCUGCAGCCCAAGCAUGGCUCCGUCGGCUCCGGCUGGCGAGCACCCGCCAGAGGUCCAAACAAAACUCUUGAAGUAAACAAUGAAGUCUGAUUUUAUUACUAUGAAAAUAGCCUAAAA
RNAcentral lists this unclassified non-coding RNA (255 nucleotides) under plant metagenome. RNAcentral describes it as "partial contains small subunit ribosomal RNA and internal transcribed spacer 1". The stretch from base 1 to 46 matches the Rfam family "Eukaryotic small subunit ribosomal RNA", at positions 1786 to 1831 of the family's 1831-position model. The record is from RNAcentral.